GAUGAACGCUGGCGGCGUGCUUAACACAUGCAAGUCGAACGAAGCACUUUUACAGAUUUCUUCGGAAUGAAGUUUUUGUGACUGAGUGGCGGACGGGUGAGUAACGCGUGGGUAACCUGCCUCACACAGGGGGAUAACAGUUGGAAACGGCUGCUAAUACCGCAUAAGCGCACAGUACCGCAUGGUACAGUGUGAAAAACUCCGGUGGUGUGAGAUGGACCCGCGUCUGAUUAGCUAGUUGGCAGGGCAACGGCCUACCAAGGCGAUGAUGCAUAGCCGAGUUGAGAGACUGAUCGGCCACAAUGGAACUGAGACACGGUCCAG
RNAcentral lists this ribosomal RNA (324 nucleotides) under uncultured bacterium. Its description in RNAcentral is "bacterial SSU rRNA". It matches the Rfam family "Bacterial small subunit ribosomal RNA", at positions 28 to 334 of the family's 1533-position model. The record is from RNAcentral.